CCCUUAGAUGUCCGGGGCCGCACGCGCGCUACACUGAAGGAAUCAGCGUGGCUUUCUCCCUGACCCGAAAGGGUUGGGAAACCCGUUGAAUCUCCUUCGUGAUAGGGAUUGGGGCUUGAAAUUGUUCCCCAUGAACGAGGAAUUCCCAGUAAGCGCGAGUCAUAAGCUCGCGUUGAUUACGUCCCUGCCCUUUGUACACACCGCCCGUCGCUACUACCGAUUGAACGGUUUAGUGAGGGCCUCGGAUUGGUCUCGGCCCGCUCUUUACCGGGCGGCGCCGUUUGUCGAGAAGACGCUCGAACUUGAUCGUUUAGAGGAAGUAAAAGUCGUAACA
RNAcentral lists this ribosomal RNA (334 nucleotides) under uncultured eukaryote. Its description in RNAcentral is "partial 18S ribosomal RNA". It matches the Rfam family "Eukaryotic small subunit ribosomal RNA", at positions 1470 to 1796 of the family's 1831-position model. The record is from RNAcentral.